CAGAUUUACUUCGGUAAUGACGUUAGGAAAGCGAGCGGCGGAUGGGUGAGUAACACGUGGGGAACCUGCCCCAUAGUCUGGGAUACCACUUGGAAACAGGUGCUAAUACCGGAUAAGAAAGCAGAUCGCAUGAUCAGCUUUUAAAAGGCGGCGUAAGCUGUCGCUAUGGGAUGGCCCCGCGGUGCAUUAGCUAGUUGGUAAGGUAAAGGCUUACCAAGGCGAUGAUGCAUAGCCGAGUUGAGAGACUGAUCGGCCACAUUGGGACUGAGACACGGCCCAAACUCCUACGGGAGGCAGCAGUAGGGAAUCUUCCUCAAUGGACGCAAGUCUGAUGGAGCAACGCCGCGUGAGUGAAGAAGGUUUUCGGAUCGUAAAGCUCUGUUGUUGGUGAAGAAGGAUAGAGGUAGUAACUGGCCAUUAUUUGACGGUAAUCAACCAGAAAGUCACGGCUAACUACGUGCCAGCAGCCGCGGUAAUACGUAGGUGGCAAGCGUUGUCCGGAUUUAUUGGGCGUAAAGCGAGCGCAGGCGGAAGAAUAAGUCUGAUGUGAAAGCCCUCGGCUUAACCGAGGAACUGCAUCGGAAACUGUUUUUCUUGAGUGCAGAAGAGGAGAGUGGAACUCCAUGUGUAGCGGUGGAAUGCGUAGAUAUAUGGAAGAACACCAGUGGCGAAGGCGGCUCUCUGGUCUGCAACUGACGCUGAGGCUCGAAAGCAUGGGUAGUGAACA
RNAcentral lists this ribosomal RNA (727 nucleotides) under uncultured bacterium. RNAcentral's name for it is "bacterial SSU rRNA". It matches the Rfam family "Bacterial small subunit ribosomal RNA", at positions 70 to 774 of the family's 1533-position model. The record is from RNAcentral.